This is a long non-coding RNA of Tachysurus fulvidraco (yellow catfish), 2650 nucleotides long. RefSeq lists it as uncharacterized. Lineage: Eukaryota; Metazoa; Chordata; Actinopteri; Siluriformes; Bagridae. The record is from RefSeq and is a predicted model, not a curated record. The transcript has 2 exons.
CCGGUUCCAUAGAGACAGCGGUGCGGACAGAUACAUUUUGGGCGCUGCGGCAUAUUAAAUAUAUGAUAAAUUGUCAAAAAGUUUUUCUGUGUGAGAAAUAUGAUAUGUGGCGGGAGAGCUUGAGAAAAGACUCAAAUGUAUGACACUUGACAGCCCCGCUCAUAGCUACAACGUAACAUAACUACAACGUAACAUAACUACAACGUAACAUAACUGCAAUGUAACAUAACUACAACGUAACUUGUAGCUACAACAUAACAUAUGGCUACAACAUAAGUGAUCUAAACUAACUUAACCUGUGGACAUUAAUUCUGUCCUUUAAAAAGAAAAAACAUUGUUCAUUAUUAGCAAAUAAACCUAUAUAAAUUAUAAAUAAAUUAUAAACAAAUAAACCAAAACCACACGGUCUUCACACAAUUCAGGGAUAAAUUUACAAAUCUCUAAAUACAUCAAAAACGACUUUUCACUGAGAUAUGCCUCUAAAGCAGUGAAGUGAGUUGAGACUCAGAUCCCAUUUAGUUAUUCUGAGACCUUUGAACUGAAUCAUAACAUUUUACACUUGGUGACUCACUAUUUCAGAAAAACAACAUGCUAUUAGUUUAUUAAAUUAGCCACCCAGAGAACGAGAGAGCAGAGACAGCCAAGCAAAGCGCUAGUUACUGAUAGCAUGAAGAACAGUGUUUUCACUUUGAAAUUCAGGGCAUUACUUCAACUCAUUUCAGAGCUGAAAGAAACCACUUCCUGAAAAGCCUGCCAUUAUUUAUCGCACAGUAAAGAAGCUGCAAGCUAGACAGCUAAGCUUCAGUGCUAGUCAGGAAUGUGCAAAAACAAACAAAAAAAAAAACAGCAUAAGCAAAGCAAACUUAAUAUUUCAAUUACAAUAUAAAACUACAAAUGCAAGUGGAUUUAACAGUGAUUUUAGGUCAUAUAUCCUGCUAGCUAGAAUCUAGUUAAUUAGCUAACAUCAAGUUUACUAGCUAACAUCCAGUUCAAUAGCUAACAUCCUGCUUAAUAGCUAACCUCCAGUUUACUAGCUAAUAUCCAAAUUACUGGCUUACAUCCAGCUUAAUAUCUAACAUCCAGUUUACUAGCUAAUGUCUAGUUUACUAGCUAACAUCCAGCUUAAUAUCUAACAUACAGUUUAUGUGCUAACAUUCAGUUUACUAGCUAACAUCCAGCUUAAUAUCUAACAUACAGUUUAUCUGCUAACAUUCAGUUUACUAGCUAACAUCCAGCUUAAUAUCUAACAUACAGUUUAUCUGCUAACAUUCAGUUUACUAGCUAACAUCCAGCUUAAUAUCUAACAUACAGUUUAUCUGCUAACAUUCAUCUUACUGGCAUACACCCAGUUAACUAGCUAGUGGUGUGAUGGCUUAAUAUUAUUAGCAUAAUUAGCAUUGCCUAACACUUAUACCUCAGUAAUAAAGCAAGAAAAUCAGACACACUUUCUCUCUCUCUCUCUCUCUCUCUCUCUCUCUCUCUCUCUCUCUCUCUCUCUCUCUCUCUCUCUCUCUGUGUGUGUGUGUGUGUGUGUGUGUGUGUGUGUGUGUGUGUGUGUGUGUGUGUGUGUGUGUGUGUGUGGCCAGUGCUAAAAUGACUGUGCAUGAACACCUGCACAUGGUGUGUGUGAAUUGCUUUAUUUCGGACUUCCCCUGCACUGCCUGUGAAAACUCAUUGUUUGAUAGUUUAUCUUAUUAAGACAAUGUGUGUGUGUGUGUGUGUGUGUGUGUGUGUGUGUGUGUAGCUGCUGAGUACAAAAAGAAGAAGAAGAAGAAGAAGAAGAAGAAGGAGAAGAAGAAGAGAAAAAAAAGAAAACCCACAGUGAAGACAACAUGGCAGGAUGCCUCUCAUUUAGCGAACACAUUCCGCUGCUAUUUGCAGACGGGUGAAGCAGCAACGCGGUGGUUUGAGACGCUACAUCUGGCCGUCUCCGUCUCCACCCGCCUCUCUUCCCUACAUGAGUCCACACGCAAUCCUGCAUCGCUUAGCACUUCUACGAGUCUUUCUGUACCUCCACGGUGGCCUCUGACUCUCACACUGUACCCAGCACCAGCAGCCAGCACUGGAUUGAGGGCGUCCGCCCGAGGUCAGGCUCCCGCAGGCCACAAAUUAUUCCCUGUAUCUAAAGCCAGACGGACUGACCGAGUCUCCGUCCACACGUGCGCACGCGUUUGUUUGUAGAGGAAGCUGCUUGCUGCAUAAGCUCCUGCUUUUAGCCGUUUAAAUCCUUCCAAUGAAUCGGACAAAAAAACACACAGAAAUAGGCAGAUAUUAGGUGAGGUGGUAAAAAAAAAGCAUGAUGUAAAAAGCAUACCAGAGGUUUUUGUCUAAUCUCUCAUUAUUUACAGCUCUGGAAUAUCUGGGUGGAGCUGAAGGUCCUGCGUUAUAUGUUUUUUUUCCGUUCAUGUUCAGGUUAAAGGCAAAUUUAGAUCAGUAGCAUCAUAUUAUCUGAAAUAAAUCUGCUCCAGGGGUGUGAUUAGUGAGGAUGAGAUGGAGACAUGGCCACGCAGAGUGAAUGUGGAACUGAGGAAGUGGGAAAAACACGACAGCAAGAAAUGAUUUUAAACACACACACACACACACACACACACACACACACACACACACACACACACACACACACACACACACACACACACACACACACACA